GCUGCAGGACAGGUUGGCUACUGGCUGAUCUUUGGAACUAGAAACAUCAUUUUGCUCCUUAAAUGAUUAAAAAAGGCACACAUGGGGCUUCUUUGUGUUAGUUCUUUUGUAUCUCCAUAUCCUGUCCCUGCAUGGAUUAUUUUGGUGCAUGCUGCAGACUUGUUUUUGGAACUUGAAUCCUGAGCAAGUGAGAAGACUUACUGGAUGCUGUUCAAGGCUCUGCAUGACAAACCUUGCACAAAUACAAGGUCAGAGAAAUGGCAGCUGGAUCCAGGAAGAUGAGAAAUUUGAGCAGGCUUAGAAGUUGGCAGCCUACAACACAUUGAUUUGUGUCUUUUUUUUUUUUUUCAAGCCUACCUUUUCUUUGUCUUUUUCUGAUUUAUAAAGCUACAAAACCAAAUAUAAAUCUUGUAUUUGUAAGCCACUUUCCACAUUAUUCAUCUAAUAACCCUCUGUGUGGCAUACACAUUAUUUUUUCCAUAAACUGAAGCACCAUAGAGGGUGAGAAUGACUUGUCCAUUAUUUGGAUAUACAAUUUAUCUAUUCAUUCUUUUAUUGAUAGACAUUUCAGCUAUUUACACUUAGGGACUUUUAUAAAUAAAGUUACUAUGAACAUU
RNAcentral lists this long non-coding RNA (617 nucleotides) under Homo sapiens (human). Its description in RNAcentral is "non-protein coding lnc-ZNF621-1:3". The record is from RNAcentral. Lineage: Eukaryota; Metazoa; Chordata; Mammalia; Primates; Hominidae.